RNAcentral lists this ribosomal RNA (132 nucleotides) under Salmonella enterica subsp. enterica serovar Anatum. Its description in RNAcentral is "partial 16S ribosomal RNA". It matches the Rfam family "Bacterial small subunit ribosomal RNA", at positions 1200 to 1331 of the family's 1533-position model. Lineage: Bacteria; Pseudomonadati; Pseudomonadota; Gammaproteobacteria; Enterobacterales; Enterobacteriaceae. The record is from RNAcentral.
CCUUACGACCAGGGCUACACACGUGCUACAAUGGCGCAUACAAAGAGAAGCGACCUCGCGAGAGCAAGCGGACCUCAUAAAGUGCGUCGUAGUCCGGAUUGGAGUCUGCAACUCGACUCCAUGAAGUUGUAA